GCUAAGAAUAUUCCGCAAUGGACGAAAGUCUGACGGAGCGACGCCGCGUGGAUGAAGAAGGCCGAAAGGUUGUAAAGUCCUUUUGUUGGGGAAGAAUAAGCGCGGGAGGGAAUGCCCGCGUGAUGACAUGAACCGACGAAUAAGCCCCGGCUAACUACGUGCCAGCAGCCGCGGUAACACGUAGGGGGCGAGCGUUGUUCGGAAUUACUGGGCGUAAAGGGCAUGUAGGCGGCCUUGUAAGCCUGGCGUGAAAGUCACCGGCUUAACCGGUGGAUUGCGUCGGGAACUGCAGGGCUUGAGUCACGGAGAGGGAGCUAGAAUUCCUGGUGUAGGGGUGAAAUCUGUAGAGAUCAGGAAGAAUACCAAUGGCGAAGGCAAGCUCCUGGCCGAUGACUGACGCUGAGGUGCGAAAGUGUGGGGAUCAAACAGGAUUAGAUACCCCAGUAGUCC
This 450-nucleotide ribosomal RNA is filed under the name uncultured bacterium. RNAcentral describes it as "bacterial SSU rRNA". It matches the Rfam family "Bacterial small subunit ribosomal RNA", at positions 354 to 796 of the family's 1533-position model. The record is from RNAcentral.